GACAGAGGGUGCAAACGUUGUUCGGAAUUACUGGGCGUAAAGCGCGUGUAGGCUGCUUCGCAAGUCGGAUGUGAAAGCCCGGGGCUCAACCCCGGAACUGCCUUUAAGACUGCAUCGCUUGAAUCCGGGAGAGGUGAGUGGAAUUCCGAGUGUAGAGGUGAAAUUCGUAGAUAUUCGGAAGAACACCAGUGGCGAAGGCGGCUCACUGGACCGGUAUUGACGCUGAUGUGCGAAAGCGUGGGGAGCAAACAGG
Molecule: ribosomal RNA, 253 nt
Filed under: uncultured bacterium
Lineage: Bacteria
Description: partial 16S ribosomal RNA
Rfam family: Bacterial small subunit ribosomal RNA
Source: RNAcentral